CCGCAGCCCAAGUGGUGAUCAUUAUUAUUGAGCCUAAAGCGUUCGUAGCCUGUCUGUUAAAUCCUCAGGUAAAUCGGCCAGCUUAACUGUCCGAAUUCCGAGGAGACUGGCAGACUUGGGACCGGGAGAGGUCAGAGGUACUCUUGGGGUAGGGGUAAAAUCCUGUAAUCCUGAGAGGACCACCAGUGGCGAAGGCGUCUGACUAGAACGGAUCCGACGGUGAGGGACGAAGCCCUGGGGCGCAAACCGGAUUAGAUACCCGAGUAGUCC
This 270-nucleotide ribosomal RNA is filed under the name uncultured archaeon. Its description in RNAcentral is "partial 16S ribosomal RNA". It matches the Rfam family "Archaeal small subunit ribosomal RNA", at positions 477 to 747 of the family's 1478-position model. The record is from RNAcentral.